UACGAAGGGGGCUAGCGUUGUUCGGAAUUACUGGGCGUAAAGGGCGCGCAGGCGGUCUUCCAAGUCAGAUGUGAAAGCCCCGGGCUCAACCUGGGAACUGCAUUUGAGACUGGAGGACUAGAGUUCGGGAGAGGAGAGCGGAAUUCCCAGUGUAGAGGUGAAAUUCGUAGAUAUUCGGAAGAACACCAGUGGCGAAGGCGGCUCACUGGACCGGUAUUGACGCUGAGGUGCGAAAGCGUGGGGAGCAAACAGG
RNAcentral lists this ribosomal RNA (253 nucleotides) under uncultured bacterium. RNAcentral's name for it is "partial 16S ribosomal RNA". It matches the Rfam family "Bacterial small subunit ribosomal RNA", at positions 524 to 776 of the family's 1533-position model. The record is from RNAcentral.